ACGGGAGGCAGCAGUGAGGAAUAUUGGUCAAUGGGCGGAAGCCUGAACCAGCCAAGUAGCGUGCAGGAUGACGGCCCUAUGGGUUGUAAACUGCUUUUGUGCGGGGAUAAAAAAGGGGACGUGUCCCCUCUUGUAGGUACCGCAAGAAAAAGGACCGGCUAAUUCCGUGCCAGCAGCCGCGGUAAUACGGAAGGUCCGGGCGUUAUCCGGAUUUAUUGGGUUUAAAGGGAGCGCAGGCGGCCUGUUAAGCGUGUGGUGAAAUGUAGUGGCUCAACCCCUGCACUGCCACGAGAACUGGCGGGCUUGAGUGCGGUGAGCGCUGGCGGAAUUCGUCGUGUAGCGGUGAAAUGCUUAGAUAACACGAAGAACUCCGAUUGCGAAGGCAGCUGGCGGUAACGUUACCGACGAUCAUGCUCGAAAGUGUGGGGAUCGAACAGGAUUAGAUACCAUGGUA
RNAcentral lists this ribosomal RNA (454 nucleotides) under uncultured Prevotella sp. RNAcentral's name for it is "partial 16S ribosomal RNA". It matches the Rfam family "Bacterial small subunit ribosomal RNA", at positions 341 to 792 of the family's 1533-position model. Lineage: Bacteria; Pseudomonadati; Bacteroidota; Bacteroidia; Bacteroidales; Prevotellaceae. The record is from RNAcentral.